AGCAGCCGCGGUAAUUCCAGCUCCAAUAGCGUAUAUUAAAGUUGUUGCAGUUAAAAAGCUCGUAGUUGAAUUUCGGGGUUAGCAGGUCGGUCGUGCCAUCGGUAUGAACUGGUCUCGCUGAUCCCUCCCUCUUGACGAACUGUGAUGCCAUUAAUUUGGUGUCGCAGGGAAUCAGGACUGUUACUUUGAAAAAAUUAGAGUGUUUAAAGCAGGCUCACGCUUGAAUACAUUAGCAUGGAAUAAUGAAAUAGGACGUUUGAUCCUAUUUUGUUGGUUUCUAGGAUUGACGUAAUGAUUAAUAGGGAUAGUUGGGGGCAUUAGUAUUCAAUUGUCAGAGGUGAAAUUCUUGGAUUUAUUGAAGACUAACUACUGCGAAAGCAUUUGCCAAGGAUGUUUUUCAUUAAUCAAGAACGAAAGUUAGGGGAUCGAAGACGAUCAGAUACCGUCGUAGUCUUAACCAUAAACUAUGCCGACUAGGGAUCGGAUGAUGUUAAUUUUUUUCAAUGACUCAUUCGGCCCC
This 520-nucleotide ribosomal RNA is filed under the name uncultured Glomus. Its description in RNAcentral is "SSU rRNA". It matches the Rfam family "Eukaryotic small subunit ribosomal RNA", at positions 569 to 1087 of the family's 1831-position model. The record is from RNAcentral. Lineage: Eukaryota; Fungi; Glomeromycota; Glomeromycetes; Glomerales; Glomeraceae.